Papaver somniferum (opium poppy) is the source of this 2674-nucleotide long non-coding RNA. RefSeq lists it as uncharacterized. Lineage: Eukaryota; Viridiplantae; Streptophyta; Magnoliopsida; Ranunculales; Papaveraceae. The record is from RefSeq and is a predicted model, not a curated record. The transcript has 14 exons.
AGAGAGAGAGAGAGAGAUAGAGAUAGAGACAAACCAGAGAGAGGCUCUGAAAAAAACUUGUUAGAUCUGAAAAUCCAGAUUUACAGAUGAAGUUUCUGGACCAUCGGCAGAUCAAACUUCUUCAAAGACACCCAAAGGUGUCAAGUUUUGUGAACCCGGGGAAGAAGUACUGCCCUGUCAGUUGGUCUAAUCUUUGCAGCUGUUUUAAAGAAGGGGGUCUAUGGGUGAAGGAUAUUGUGAUUGCUAGUGCUGCUAAUAUACCGUGUCUGGUAAACGUACCAUUUGGACUGAUUGGGUCCAUAAGAAUCUGUUAAAGCAUAUAAGUUUCUGGUGUAUCUCAACUCUUUUAGAUGAUUCUAGGUGCUGGAGGAGAAUCCUUGAUCAGAGGAGUGUUGCUAAGGAUUUGGUCAUCAGCAUUCUGGUUGGUGGUGAAGAUACUAAGAUGCUUACUGAUCUUUGGUACACUAAGAAAAGGAUUAUUGAGUGGAUGGAUGCUAGCAUUAUUCAAACUGGUUUCCAUAAUGGAAAGGUGGCUGAGUUUAUUGAAGGUGAUCAUUGGAAUCUGCCUAGAAGUGAGACUGCUGCAGUUUACAGUGUCUUAUCUCAGCUUGCUAGUGUUGCAUUUGAUGCUUUUGAAAAGUAUAAGGCGGUUUUAUCUGUUUGCUCUUCUGGGGAUUCAACAUGAUAGAUACUUAUAAUGCUAUUCUCCCUAACGGAGAGAGCCAAAGUUGGUGCACUUCGGUGUGGUUUAAAUUCUCUAAUCCCCAGACACUCUUUAAUAUCCUGGUUGUCUUUACAGGGAAGAUUGAAGAUGAGGGACAAAUUGCUGUACUGGGGCUUGAUGGUUAGUGCUAAUUGCUUAUUCUGUUAUGCUCUGGUGGAGAAUGGGAGUCACUUGUUUCAUGGAUUUUAUCGAAAUAUAGAGACUUGAAGAAAGAAAAGAAGAGGAGCAGAAGUUCAUCAACAUGUGAAUUGUCUCUAAGGAGCAAUCUUCAGAAAUCAUUUGGUUAGUUGGCAUGGGUGCGUCAUUGUUGCAGUGUCUGUAAAGAAAAUCCCUGGCAAAUAUAAUUGGAAGACUUGGGUUUGCCUCUUUACCAAACUUGUAUGGUCAUUCUGUCUGUGUUGUAUAAUCAUGACCUGGAAGGCUAUCCUCUCGCUAUACUGAUGACAUAAGUUUCUCAAGAACUUGUUACUACAGAAAGGUUCAGCAAUUGAGUUCCUUGCCCUUAUAGGAGAUGUCGUUCUUAAGGACUUGAACUGUGAAAGUUGGGUUUAUUGGGAAGAACAGAUUGGAGCUGCAAAACAGUUGGUCAAUGAAGUCAUAAGCGAGUAUCACCUGGUGGAAGUCAUAUAUGACAUAAAGUACUGCUGAAUGCCCUAGAUGCACAUAAAGUACUGCUGAAUGCCCUAGAUGCUGCUGGAAAAAAACACUGCUGCUAUUGAAAAGGGGUUUGCCAUUGGAUCAGUUGCUGUUGUAUCCCUUGCACCUUUUGGUGCCUUUGUGAGUCAUGCAACUAUUUCAACUGUGGAUGUUCUUACCCCAAAAGCCUUUAUUGGUUUACUCGUUGGAGCCGAAAAGCCAAAGAAAAAAACUAGGUGCCGCCGUUCUUGAUCUUGGUUGUGCUCUUUAGCCAAAGUAAAAACUAGGUGCCUCCAUUCUUGAUCUUGGUUGUGCUCUUUAGGUCAGGCGUAUUAGACACCAAUGCUGAAAUUGGUGCAGCUAAAGAAAAAACUAGGUGCUCCUGUUCUUGAUCUUGGUUGUGCUCUUCAGCCAGGAAAUUCAUGGUUGGUUUCAGUCGUUGUUACUGUCAUUGAGAGCCUCAAGAUCUCUAUUGGCAGCUGUCAGAUUUUUGAAGAUGGUACUAAUGAGCUGGCAACUGGUCACAAAGUGGCUUCUUCAUGGGCUCAUAAUUGCCAGCAGAAGAAAAGCUACCACUUCUAUGGAACAUCUCUUUGUCAGUUUUGUCGGCAUUAGAUUCAGUUAUGUGCAACAGUUGAAAGUCGUUAUGGAGGUUGGGUUCUUUUUCCAGCACAUGCUAAAGUCGAGUCUGCAAAACCUAAAGAAGCUGCACACUGGAAUAAUAAUCAAUUGAGGAAAAGCUGAUUUGCUUUAAAUGAGCUUUCCUCAUGCAAAAACAGCAGUGUUUAUAUUUUUCCCAGUAUGCAAGCUUGUUAUCAACUGAAAAAACAUGAUUAAGGAUGUCAUUUGAAAAACUGAUCCAUUGAAUUCCAGAAAAACAAUUGCAGGUGAACUUUUUUUUUCCCUUCUUUGAGUCUGUUCAUUGUUCUACCUAUUAAUUUGGUAUUUGUUUUCUUUCAGAAAAUCCAGUUCUAUAUGGAAUGGACAUUUUGAGUUUUUUGUUGAAGAUGAAACUACUCGGCACUUAGUGCAGAAUAAAGUUGGUUGUUCUAAUUAAAAUUUUGCAGUGGCAAUAUUGGAUGAACUGGAGAAGACACAUACAGAAACAACAAGAGGAGAAAUGUAUGCUUAACAAGAGAAGUAAAAGCUGCAGUUAAGUUGUCAUACAGGCAGAUUACCAAAUAGGUUAGCUGCAGUAUAAAUUUAUGAUAUCAAAGCUUGGAAUUAAAGCUUUGUGAAUGCAGAAUGUAGUCAUGAAUUUUUGUAAAUAAUUUUUAAAAUAAAUAAAUAAAAAUUUGUAAAUAAUUUUUGUUA